UACGGAGGGUGCAAGCGUUGUCCGGAAUCACUGGGCGUAAAGGGCGCGUAGGCGGCUCAUGAAGGCUGUGGUGAAAGUCCGGGGCUCAACCUCGGAUCGGCCGUGGCGACUCGUGGGCUGGAGCACUGUAGAGGCGGGUGGAAUUCCGGGUGUAGCGGUGGAAUGCGUAGAGAUCCGGAAGAACACCAGUGGCGAAGGCGACUUACUGGACACAUAUUGACGCUGAGGUGCGAAAGCGUGGGGAGCAAACAGG
RNAcentral lists this ribosomal RNA (253 nucleotides) under uncultured bacterium. Its description in RNAcentral is "partial 16S ribosomal RNA". It matches the Rfam family "Bacterial small subunit ribosomal RNA", at positions 524 to 776 of the family's 1533-position model. The record is from RNAcentral.